This 424-nucleotide ribosomal RNA is filed under the name Acidobacteriota bacterium. RNAcentral's name for it is "Acidobacteria bacterium partial 16S ribosomal RNA". It matches the Rfam family "Bacterial small subunit ribosomal RNA", at positions 355 to 776 of the family's 1533-position model. The record is from RNAcentral. Lineage: Bacteria; Pseudomonadati; Acidobacteriota.
UGAGGAAUAUUGGUCAAUGGGCGUUAGCCUGAACCAGCCAAGUAGCGUGAAGGAUGAAGGCUCUAUGGGUCGUAAACUUCUUUUAUAUAAGAAUAAAGUGCAGUAUGUAUACUGUUUUGUAUGUAUUAUAUGAAUAAGGAUCGGCUAACUCCGUGCCAGCAGCCGCGGUAAUACGGAGGAUCCGAGCGUUAUCCGGAUUUAUUGGGUUUAAAGGGAGCGUAGGUGGACUGGUAAGUCAGUUGUGAAAGUUUGCGGCUCAACCGUAAAAUUGCAGUUGAUACUGUCAGUCUUGAGUACAGUAGAGGUGGGCGGAAUUCGUGGUGUAGCGGUGAAAUGCUUAGAUAUCACGAAGAACUCCGAUUGAGAAGGCAGCUCACUGGACUGCAACUGACACUGAUGCUCGAAAGUGUGGGUAUCAAACAGG